Molecule: unclassified non-coding RNA, 1660 nt
Filed under: Hevea brasiliensis (rubber tree)
Lineage: Eukaryota; Viridiplantae; Streptophyta; Magnoliopsida; Malpighiales; Euphorbiaceae
Source: RNAcentral
AAAAUAAAUAAAUAAAUAAAUAAUUAUCCUACCGUAGGGCUUUGAAUUCUAUGAGUUAUGACAAGUAUGAAAAACAAGAACAAGAAUGGUAUAACUGGUGAUAAGUUGAGUAAUGAUAGAGUACUGAUUGAGUUAAUCUGAUAACCUUAUCAUCUAUGUUUUAACACUUUUCUUGCCAAAGAUGCUCAUUUGUGCAGUAAUGCAGAAUUAUGACAUACUGUUUAACUUCAAUUCUUUUUCACUGCAGAAUGGCCCUAGCCCAAAUAUAAUUCAGCAAUUUGCAGGUCAUGCUCAAGAUUACUACCAACGGUUAACAAGAUAAGAUGAAGACCACCACCAUGAAAUAAAAUUCAAUGCAUUACAGACAAGACAGAACGGAAAGAAGAAGCCAAGAGAAAAGUUCAAAGCAUUACAAGGACAUAACUAGAAAGGAAAUGAAGGAACUUUGAAAUUCCAUGAAAAGUCAAAAAGCUUCCAAUAAGAGUCAACUAGAAAACAUGCAGUCACAAAAGACUCCCUUCACAAAGAGUGCAACUCCAAUAGAAUUUCAACUAUAUGGAGCUGACAUUGUUAAGUACAAAAAUUCAUGUUAAUAAACCAUUUAGUUCUGUGCUCAUUAAGUUAAAUUUGUCAUGAAAACUUUUAGUCAUAUUCCUCCUUGAGGAACAUUAUUUGCUAUAUUGGCUUUAGAGUUUUGACAUCCUUUUUUUAUUCUUCUGGACUUAGUGAAUCAUUAAAAUUAGGUUCAAGACAUAAGCAUGCCGAGGUAGCUCAGAUAUGUAUCAUAUCAAGAUUUAAAGGCUUCAGUUUGCAAAAACAUAUAUGUUUGAUAGAAAGUAUUGUGGUCACAAAACAUAAAAUGCCUACACAUGAUGUCCUAGUCUAGUCUGUAGAAAUUUCAUGUUAAAUUUUUUUAGUAGUUCACUGAACGGAUCACAAAACAACAUGGAAGAAUAUUGCCAUUAGUUUGUUCUACCUAGCGAAAAAUUUCAAACCUACAAGGUCACACAAACACUAGAUGGGACCUGCACACCCAUUAACCAACCUCAACAUGGGCAUUGUUACUACAAGUAAACAAGUCGUGUCUUUCUUCUCUCUGUUUUUCUUUUCAUUAGGAGAAUUACAUCCAUAUACAUAGAAACAGUCCCAAGUACAAUGCCAAAGAAUUUGGAAGCUCAAACAAUUUUAAUAAGAUAUUACUCAUAUUCAGGCCCUGCUACCAUCAAUCUAAUACUAAUACACAUACAAACACACUACUGGCUUCUAAAAUCUUCCAUUUGAAGGACUCAGGUAUUCACCAAGACAAACAAAUUAGGAAAGCACAGUGGUAACCUAUCCAUUCAUGUUUGUAAUGGUAUUAUGGUAAAUGAGAUAAAUAGUAAAUGAUCUGGUCACUAGCAGAAGUCAUAUAAAUCAGAGUCACUAGUAAAAGUUCCAGUCAACAGUCGAUUCAUAAUUCUGUUGCAGAUUGCUUGAAUCAAUUUCUUCUAAUAUAAUUUCUUUUUAAUUUAGUAUUAGAUUUUUAAUUUUAAAAUACCAAACUUAGAUCCUAAUGAUCCGUAAUUAAUGGAGCAGGAGCACAUCUGAAUUCCAAAGCAGCUGAAACAUUGCAGAGGAGAUAUUGAUAAUAUAUAUAUAUAUAGGUGGCCAAGAUAAAAUA